This 340-nucleotide unclassified non-coding RNA is filed under the name Hevea brasiliensis (rubber tree). The record is from RNAcentral. Lineage: Eukaryota; Viridiplantae; Streptophyta; Magnoliopsida; Malpighiales; Euphorbiaceae.
ACCAUAAAAUGAUUGGCCACAGUCAAUCACUGGCACAUGGCAUUCUUCAAUUGAUCAUGACUAUGCAUGCUCCUUAAAAAUCCCACACAACAUGGUCCUAUCCCAUAACUACCCCUACAGAUGCACACUUUCUCUGUGAAAGCCACUUUCUUCAUUGCAUUUUCUCCAUAAUAAACAUGCAAGGAAUAUGUAUACUUAAUAACAGUAUUCAGUAUCGCACAUGAACCACAGACAACCAAGUGAAAUAGAGAAUCAUCAAAGUACACAUGUAAAGUAAUGGUAAAAAAAUUAGAGCAAAAGACAAUUUUAAAAAGAAAAAAACAUAAAAGGAUUAUAAGAG